RNAcentral lists this ribosomal RNA (397 nucleotides) under uncultured bacterium. RNAcentral's name for it is "partial 16S ribosomal RNA". It matches the Rfam family "Bacterial small subunit ribosomal RNA", at positions 523 to 918 of the family's 1533-position model. The record is from RNAcentral.
AUACGUAGGGGGCGAGCGUUGUCCGGAAUGAUUGGGCGUAAAGGGCGCGUAGGCGGCCCGGUAAGUCUGGAGUGAAAGUCCUGUUUUUAAGAUGGGAAUUGCUUUGGAUACUGUCGGGCUUGAGUGCAGGAGAGGUAAGUGGAAUUCCCAGUGUAGGGGUGAAAUGCGUAGAGAUUGGGAGGAACACCAGUGGCGAAGGCGACUUACUGGACUGUAACUGACGCUGAGGCGCGAAAGUGUGGGGAGCAAAUAGGAUUAGAUACCCUGGUAGUCCACACUGUAAACGAUGAAUGCUAGGUGUAGGGGGUAUCGACCCCUUCUGUGCCGCAGUCAACACAAUAAGCAUUCCGCCUGGGGAGUACGGCCGCAAGGUUGAAACUCAAAUGAAUUGACGGGG